AGGGGUAUAGCUUAGUCUGGACUAAAGCGGUGGUCUCCAAAACCAUGAUCGGGAGUUCAAAUCUCUCUACCUCUGC
Molecule: transfer RNA, 76 nt
Filed under: Rhodococcus phage Peregrin
Lineage: Duplodnaviria; Heunggongvirae; Uroviricota; Caudoviricetes
Description: tRNA-Trp
Rfam family: tRNA
About the family: Transfer RNA (tRNA) molecules are approximately 80 nucleotides in length. Their secondary structure includes four short double-helical elements and three loops (D, anti-codon, and T loops).
Source: RNAcentral